AAUGAAGAUGGAGAUUGAGAGUGUUGUGUGCUCAGGCUCUGGCGUUCUCAGCGCCUACAAAAUGAAUGUCCUUCACGCCGUCAAAAUAAAAGUCACAACAACAAGUGCGUUAUACGUCACUUCAGAGUUCCUACUGGCAGUGCGAAUGCAACGACCCUAGGGGAAUAUUUAGUUCUCGGGGAACCACCCUGGUUGCUAGUUCCUUGAACUACCCGGUGCGGAAGCCCCUUUUCACAUAGGCACAGUGUCCACACCUGCACAUACCUAUGAGUAAUGCAUUCCAGCAGAACAUUAGUUAAAAAUGGGUAUAAACAUAUUUUUAUCAGAAAUUAUAGAAGAUGGCAUCCCGAUCACAAGGAUAAACAUCACACUGUUAUGUCUGUUGGGUUGUAUUGUAAGUAUAUAACCUUGAGAAGUUGUUAUCCAGUGCGUUGAUCAUUUGUACCUUGUUAUGAUUUCACAUGCUAUAUUUUUCACUUAUAUUCAAGUGAAGAACAGAGUAAGGCCUUAAAGACUUGAGCUAGCUGAUAAGAUCAGGGAGUGACAAUAAUUCACAUGAAAGUGUUAGAGGCACAAGAGCCUGGUGUGCUUACCUGGCAACUAUUGACAGCCCAAGAGUGUGUUGUGGUUCUCUGCUGCUCACUUCUCUAGAGAGAUUGAAUUCUUCUAGUCAUUUUCUAACCAAUUUACCCAUCUGCAUUGUCUCCUUGUUUCGAUUGCACUCUUGCUGUUUGCCUGAGUUUUCCCAGGUCUGCAUUUGCCCAAAUCGGAUCUUUAUGGUCAAUCAUAAGUGGUUAUAAACCUUACAGUACGUACCUCCCUGUCUGUCAUCGUAAUCCCCCUAAAAAUCUUAAAUCAGCAACUUCUUCUUCUUGUUCACUGACAGCAGUCUACAGUCUCUUAGGUUAUUUCACCCUAUAACUUUAAAACUUUUUAAAGUUUGUUACAUUUAAGUAUUAUCUUCCCCUCUAAGUGGUCGAAAUGCUUUGUCUUCUUCGGAACCUUAAAUGGAACGAAUGCUGGAUAUUGCAUUCAAUUCAAGAUACACAAUAUUCACUGGGAGAUCUUGGAUACCUGCAGGUUCUGCAAAAGGUCUUUAAUAACACGGUAGUGAUUGCCUGCUUGAUCUACACCUUACUUAAGCCCGUCAAUCAUCAGUCACUUUUGGAGGCCUGUACCGCCUCUUUCGUUACACUGCGUGCAUCUUCUCCAAAUCCCGCCACCCUGCUGAGCCAAGAUCAGCUGGAGACAAGCACUUCUGAUGAGUCCGUCCAUAUACACCUCCCAAAUUACCCUCAUAAAUGAUGAGAGCGUGUGCACGCGUAUGUGUCUGUGUGUCCUAGACUGGUGUUUAACCUACUAUGGGGGUGGCUUACCACUCAGCGGGAGCGAACAACCACGCACUUCUUCUACUCCAUCACCUCCUCCUCUUCAUCUUUGUCAGAGUUAGUGGUGAGAGUGACGCCAAAGAGAAAACAAAGAAGAUUCCAAGAGUCCCUGAUGAGUACUAGGUCAAGGUCACUGCCCAAUUAUCCACGUCUUUCAUUUUCAUUCUGUCUUUUCAGUUCUCUGUACCAUCUCUCGGUUCCCUCAUUUUCUCGUUCACCAGGCGGGAAAGUAAUCGUUGUCUCUCAUGCUGUGGUGUCGAGGUUAAGUGGAGGUGAUCAUGUCUUGUGGAGAGGGUAGUUUCUUGAGAGGCAGCAGACUCCUGGAGUGGCAUGUCUGAGAAGUGUUGCAGUUAAGACAAAGGCUUUAGUCAUUUGUUUGGUAUCUGUUCAUCUACAGUACAAAGCCACUAUAACAUUAGGUUGACUUUCAAAGUUUUGGGUGGAAAAGCUGAAGGUCUCCAUUGCCACUUUCUAAUAUUUACACACAUUAUUUAGACAAUUAGAUUUGGACAAUGUUCCUAACUUUGAUGUUCCUUGUGAUGCUCUUGCUCGUCUUGCUAAUGCUUUCGUUUAUCUUACAGUGCCUCUGAACUAAGCACAACGCUCCAGUUCUUUGCUUCGGAGAUGACAAAAUUAGACGAUCUCAUAAUUUUCAUCAUUGUUUUCAUCGUUUUUGUACUCAUAAACGCCUACAAUGUGAAUCAGGAUUGCCACUCCUGAAUUGGUACUUUCCAUGUCAAUCGAAUGCAUUGUCAUUAUCACUAAGUGAUAAUUAACUUAUGUGCAUCAAUUGGCUUCUUUGUUUGUAUGACAAUGUUUUGUUCUUUGAUUUUGUUUUUCAAAUGCUGUUGUUUAAAUAAAGUGCAUUCAAAGAA
This is a long non-coding RNA of Rhinichthys klamathensis goyatoka, 2263 nucleotides long. RefSeq lists it as uncharacterized. The transcript is spliced from 2 exons. The record is from RefSeq and is a predicted model, not a curated record. NCBI's taxonomy places the organism in Eukaryota, Metazoa, Chordata, Actinopteri, Cypriniformes, Leuciscidae.